AUUGAACGCUGGCGGAAUGCUUUACACAUGCAAGUCGAGCGGCAGCGCGGGGGCAACCCUGGCGGCGAGCGGCGAACGGGUGAGUAAUACAUCGGAACGUGUCCUUGAGUGGGGGAUAGCUCGGCGAAAGCCGGAUUAAUACCGCAUAAGCUCUGAGGAGGAAAGCGGGGGAUUCGCAAGGACCUCGCGCUGUUGGAGCGGCCGAUGUCGGAUUAGCAGUUGGUGGGGUAAAGGCCCACCAAGGCGACGAUCCGUAGCUGGUCUGAGAGGAUGAUCAGCCACACUGGAACUGAGACACGGUCCAGACUCCUACGGGAGGCAGCAGUGGGGAAUUUUGGACAAUGGGGCAACCCUGAUCCAGCCAUUCCGCGUGAGUGAAGAAGGCC
RNAcentral lists this ribosomal RNA (386 nucleotides) under uncultured bacterium. RNAcentral describes it as "bacterial SSU rRNA". It matches the Rfam family "Bacterial small subunit ribosomal RNA", at positions 29 to 416 of the family's 1533-position model. The record is from RNAcentral.